CCUACGGGAGGCUGCAGUGGGGAAUAUUGGACAAUGGGCGAAAGCCUGAUCCAGCCAUGCCGCGUGUGUGAAGAAGGCCUUCGGGUUGUAAAGCACUUUCAGUGGGGAAGAAAGCCUUGGGGCUAAUACCCUCGAGGAAGGACAUCACCCACAGAAGAAGCACCGGCUAACUCCGUGCCAGCAGCCGCGGUAAUACGGAGGGUGCGAGCGGUAAUCGGAAUUACUGGGCGUAAAGCGCGCGUAGGCGGUCUGAUAAGCCGGUUGUGAAAGCCCCGGGCUCAACCUGGGAACGGCAUCCGGAACUGUCAGGCUAGAGUGCAGGAGAGGAAGGUAGAAUUCCCGGUGUAGCGGUGAAAUGCGUAGAGAUCGGGAGGAAUACCAGUGGCGAAGGCGGCCUUCUGGACUGACACUGACGCUGAGGUGCGAAAGCGUGGGUAGCAAACAGGAUUAGAUACCCCUGUAGUC
RNAcentral lists this ribosomal RNA (465 nucleotides) under Vreelandella stevensii. RNAcentral describes it as "partial 16S ribosomal RNA". It matches the Rfam family "Bacterial small subunit ribosomal RNA", at positions 338 to 795 of the family's 1533-position model. Lineage: Bacteria; Pseudomonadati; Pseudomonadota; Gammaproteobacteria; Oceanospirillales; Halomonadaceae. The record is from RNAcentral.